GGUGGGGGGUCUCUCUCUCUUACGGGGAUCUGAGCGCCGCGGCGGGGACGGGGCACCUGCAGCCGCCGCGGCCCCGGAGGCUUCACAGGGCUGCCCGUGCCCGGCCGCCUUGCCGGCGGCGGGCCCUCACGUCCUUCUCAAGCCGCUUGGGCUGGUCCCUUCCCCUUCUGCGUUAGGGCAGGCAUGAUCAAAGUUACAAGAUAAAGAAAAAGCUCUUCGUCCUUAGGGUUUAUGUAUUUCUCCCACUUCUCUUGAAUGUUUCCAGCACUUCGUGUAGCAUGCCCGUAGGACGGGGUCCGAUGCUUUCGUUGUUCAGACCUGCUGUGCAUGUGCUGUAGCGAAACAGCCUGUUGGUGCAGUAAACUUUGGCUUCCACGAGUGUAAAAUAGAAGAGAAUACUUGGACUGAUUGGACUCCUUCCUUCUGCCGUUGUUGCCCGGGGUUUGUUGCCAUCCUGGAUCUGUUUCCUGUUUGCAUUUUGCUGGGCUGGUAUUGGUAGAUCACCUGAGAGCCCCACCCCACUCCCAGUUCAUGCCUGGCCUUCACUGAAGAGCUGAAAACCUGACAAGCUGUUGUCCUUGUUUUCCUUUGUGACACAUUGCAGAGCUGCCUUGUUACAAAGUAGUUGUUUGUGUUCUGGGGCUCUCACCUGUGGAAAUUUGAUGUAUGGCUCACUGUGUAGAGUUUCCUCACUCCUGUAAUAUUUCAUCCUCCCACUCGGACUGCUGUAACACCCUAAUUUCUGGCCAUAAAUCUAAACCAAAAGUUAACUAGUUAGACUAUAUGUAAAUAUUUCUCAUUAAUUGUAGAAAGAGAAGGUGCAACAUGUUUUUCUUUACUAUAUUUAAACAUUUAUUUAAAAAAAAAUUACUCUCCAAGGUGCUUUUUUGGUACCUGGAUUACCUUGAUAAAAAUGAGUGGAAUACUCUGAUGUUUACAGUAGUAACUCCUGGGGGCUAACAGACUCUGAGAAUUCUUGAGUUCUGCAACAUCAUUAACAAAAUUAGUAGUCAGGCCAGUAGUAGAUUCCAGGCUUAAAAGCAGGUUAUACUGAUUGUAGGACUGAGUGAUAUCUUAAGCAGAGUAGCUAAGUGAACUAUUAUGGUUAAGUAAACAAAAAUGCAGCAGAAUGAGAGGUUUCUGAGUAAGCUGUAUGCUGAUAGAUUACAGCAUUAUCAGAGUCUGCAAGUCAAAAAUGGUGUAAGAAAAGGCGGUGGCAGCCUGUAGUCUAAUUUAUGCAGGUAUUUGAAGAGGGAAAUUCAGGUAGAAUAAAGAUUUAUUGGGAAGAAGGUGGAAACAAAAGGGAAGGUAGUUCAUUUAUAUUUUCCAAAGACAUACUGCAAAUCACUUUGAUUAUAUUUACACUACUGGGACUGGGCUGCCCCUCUUCUCUCUGAAACCACCUCUUUCCAGAUGGUGUAAAUCUGGCAAGUCAUGGAUGUGGCUACUUUCGGAUGUCACCUAAAGCAAAAUAUAGGUUGUGUUCACAUUGUACCAUAGCUCAGAUUUCCCUCUGUCCACAGCAUAUUGGGAGCACAGUGAUAUCUGGAAGGAAUCUCUGAUCCUUCCUUUCCUGCCCCAAACAGAGGCUUAUGAAUGAUAACAUGCGCCAGUAAAUCUGAAACAAGUCUUCAGUCUUGAUACUGCUCCAUUUUGAUGCAAUGACUACUUUUCUGUAGAUCUCAAUAGAAAGCCAUAAUGCUUUUAUCAAUUCCUACUGCAAAUAAGUUUUCCCCCAGAAUGACCGUUUUAAGAAAUCCUGCUUUGAAGUCGUAAUUUUAAAGGUGGUUUACGUAAGAAAUAAUGCCUAUAGAAUGAUUGAUCAUUGUUUUUAAAUAAGCACUUGUACAAUGUCAUUGUCUUAGACAUUCUAGUCAGUUAAUUUUUUUAAAAAAUCUUGGUGUUCAGAAUACUGUGUUUUACUUUAGAUUCCACUUUUUUCUGCUUUAUACUUAACUCCUACAAUUCUCCUGUCAUUAUCUUAUUAAAAUAUAUACAUGAAAACAUAUAUAUGUAUCUAUGAACAAAGUCUUUACAACCUUUUAAAAAACAUUUUGCAUUAGCUUCUUUAAAGCUUGGUGUUUUCUGAGAGUAGUAAGUGCUAUUAAAUGCAAAAAAGAAAAAAAUCUACUACUUUUGUC
Non-coding RNA from Phalacrocorax carbo (great cormorant), 2141 nucleotides. The record is from RefSeq and is a predicted model, not a curated record. Lineage: Eukaryota; Metazoa; Chordata; Aves; Suliformes; Phalacrocoracidae.